GAACAUUUAGCCCCUCGCCUUGAGCU
This 26-nucleotide unclassified non-coding RNA is filed under the name Mus musculus (house mouse). RNAcentral describes it as "oocyte_clustered_small_RNA1853". The record is from RNAcentral. Lineage: Eukaryota; Metazoa; Chordata; Mammalia; Rodentia; Muridae.